GCUGGGAUAGCUGAGUAGGUAGAGCAUGAGGUUCUUAAUUUCAGGGUUGUGGGUUUGAGCCCCACGUUGGGCA
Molecule: transfer RNA, 73 nt
Filed under: Podarcis lilfordi (Lilford's wall lizard)
Lineage: Eukaryota; Metazoa; Chordata; Lepidosauria; Squamata; Lacertidae
Rfam family: tRNA
About the family: Transfer RNA (tRNA) molecules are approximately 80 nucleotides in length.
Source: Rfam by way of RNAcentral